This 812-nucleotide ribosomal RNA is filed under the name Streptomyces sp. RNAcentral describes it as "bacterial SSU rRNA". It matches the Rfam family "Bacterial small subunit ribosomal RNA", at positions 63 to 887 of the family's 1533-position model. The record is from RNAcentral. Lineage: Bacteria; Bacillati; Actinomycetota; Actinomycetes; Kitasatosporales; Streptomycetaceae.
CGAACGAUGAACCACACUUCGGGUGGGGAUUAGUGGCGAACGGGUGAGUAACACGUGGGCAAUCUGCCCUGCACUCUGGGACAAGCCCUGGAAACGGGGUCUAAUACCGGAUAUGAGCUUCCACCGCAUGGUGGGGGCUGUAAAGCUCCGGCGGUGCAGGAUGAGCCCGCGGCCUAUCAGCUUGUUGGUGAGGUAACGGCUCACCAAGGCGACGACGGGUAGCCGGCCUGAGAGGGCGACCGGCCACACUGGGACUGAGACACGGCCCAGACUCCUACGGGAGGCAGCAGUGGGGAAUAUUGCACAAUGGGCGCAAGCCUGAUGCAGCGACGCCGCGUGAGGGAUGACGGCCUUCGGGUUGUAAACCUCUUUCAGCAGGGAAGAAGCGAAAGUGACGGUACCUGCAGAAGAAGCGCCGGCUAACUACGUGCCAGCAGCCGCGGUAAUACGUAGGGCGCGAGCGUUGUCCGGAAUUAUUGGGCGUAAAGAGCUCGUAGGCGGCUUGUCGCGUCGGUUGUGAAAGCCCGGGGCUUAACCCCGGGUCUGCAGUCGAUACGGGCAGGCUAGAGUUCGGUAGGGGAGAUCGGAAUUCCUGGUGUAGCGGUGAAAUGCGCAGAUAUCAGGAGGAACACCGGUGGCGAAGGCGGAUCUCUGGGCCGAUACUGACGCUGAGGAGCGAAAGCGUGGGGAGCGAACAGGAUUAGAUACCCUGGUAGUCCACGCCGUAAACGGUGGGCACUAGGUGUGGGCAACAUUCCACGUUGUCCGUGCCGCAGCUAACGCAUUAAGUGCCCCGCCUGGGGAGUACGGCC